Molecule: long non-coding RNA, 1379 nt
Filed under: Mus musculus (house mouse)
Lineage: Eukaryota; Metazoa; Chordata; Mammalia; Rodentia; Muridae
Description: long non-coding RNA chrX:56381198-56382577
Source: RNAcentral
UUUUAAGAUUUAUUUAUUUAUUAUAUAUAAGUACACUGUAGCUGUCUUCAGACACACCAGAAGAGGGCGUCAGAUCUCGUUACAGAUGGUUGUGAGCCACCAUGUGGUUGCUGGGAUUUGAACUCCGGACCUUUGGAAGAGCAGUCAGUCGGGUGCUCUUACCCACUGAGCCAUCUCACCAGCCCUCAGGAUAUCUUGACUUGCCCACUUGUAUGUGACUCACAAAAGUUAAUUCUCAUGUCCAAACCAUGGCUUGAAAUGGACUAGCCAUCAAGACUCAGUCCCCAAGAGAAACUUUCUGUUAACCUAGGCUGUAUGCUUGGCUUUGAGAUGGACAUCUGACAAAUAUAAAGGCUUAGGAAUUUACUAGUCAUUAAAUCUUAAUGAAAGACUUACUCAAGUCUUUCUCAAGCACUUUAGCAGUAAGAACAAGAGACCCAAGAGGAAGACAAAGAAGAGUUACAAAAACAGCAAGUAAAUACUCACACAAAAGGGCUUUAGAUGGAGCCAAAAGAGCAGAUUAGAAGCAAGCAGAACUUACCAGUUUCUUCUUGGCUCAGAAUCAAAAAAGACAAAGAAAAAUUCAGUGUGGGACAGCGCUGAACAUCAAUAUUAUUUGGAUGGAUUUGGAGGGACCUGGUGGCGUUUAUAAGAAGAUAAAGAGAGGAGGGAUGUGUUUUCUGCUUGUGUAGUCAGGUAUGGGAAAAGGGGUGUCUCCUUGGGUCCAUGCUGAGGCAUCCCUUCCCCCUAAUGGACCAGCCACACGAUGGGAUGGUGUAGUAUAGAAUAGAAUUUAUUCAAGGCAUGGGGAGGGGAGUUAAGAGGGUAGCAGAGGCAGAGAAAGGCAGAGGGAGCAAGGGGGAGGUAGAUAAGUAGAUGAAUAGAGGUCUGCGAGGCAGUGGGCAUGGGGGAAAGAGGGAGUGGGGGAAAACCCGCAUCCCGCCAGAGUUCCGGUGCCCUGGGCGGGCAGACAUAUAAGGACUGCUGCACACUUUCCACACAGCCCAGGGUAAACCCCAGCUCGUCGGAGGAUGGACAAGGGGCAGUCCUAGGUACCAAGUUCUCAGCCCCUGGCAUCCCAGACACCACUGGACACCGCGAAAGAGCUGAGAACAGAAUGGGGGCCCCAGGGGCGGCUCAGUCAGCUCUGGGCCGAAGGGAGGAGAGGGCAGGGGGGAAAGGGAGGCGCUGUGUGGUUCCCACGUGGGUGAGAGUCCUUGAGAGUCAGUGUCUGGAGCACAGAAAGGCCUUCUGGAGGGAGGUUAGAUGUGGCUCGUUAGGGGAAAGCCUAUCCAUCAUCGUUCAAGCACUGCAGGCCUUGAUGAGCAGAGACAGUUUAUGGUUUUAGGACUUUAUUGUGGAAAGGCAGGGGGAAAGAG